AAAAAACUAAAUGGGCAGUCGCCAUCACUAUAAGAACUGUAAAUUACAACCAAAGAAAACCAGAUAGCAUACUUCUGCUGAGUUAUUUUUAAGAAAACUUGGAAGCCGCUCAAAUUUAAAUGUUGCAACACCAGUUGUUAGAGACUUUAAGUCUACAUAUUACAGAAAGAAAUUUAGGAAAUAACUUACAUUUGAGUAUUCUAAUUAUUUAGGGUAUUUUUGGCAUUUGACUCAGUUAUUAAGGCUGGGAUUAGUUUAUCACUCAAUAUAGAAGUCUUAUGAAGAGCUUUUAACAUUAGUUUUGAUAUUUUUGAAGACUGAGAAUUAAAUAAAAUUUGAAAGCAAUUGUCCAUCAUUUCAUUCCUUUGUUUGUUGUGGCUGGUUCUACAUCAUUAAAUCAACAGAAGACCAAGGGAGAGGUAGAAAGCAUUAACAUUUAACAAUCAUUUCACAGCAUCAACUGUUAACCAAGGAAGAGUUAAGGGGAGUACACUGACCAAGUGUAUCAUCAUCAUAAGGAACUUUUCCCUUAACAAGUGUCUCCACAAACAAUACAGCAAGCUCUGAUCCGCAAGUUACCUG
This 582-nucleotide unclassified non-coding RNA is filed under the name Hevea brasiliensis (rubber tree). The record is from RNAcentral. Lineage: Eukaryota; Viridiplantae; Streptophyta; Magnoliopsida; Malpighiales; Euphorbiaceae.